GAGCGGUAUUGUUUCUUCGGAAACGAGAGAGCGGCGCACGGGUGCGGAACACGUGUGCAACCUGCCUUUAUCUGGGGGAUAGCCUUUCGAAAGGAAGAUUAAUACCCCAUAAUAUUUUGAAUGGCAUCAUUUAAAAUUGAAAACUCCGGUGGAUAGAGAUGGGCACGCGCAAGAUUAGAUAGUUGGUAGGGUAGCGGCCUACCAAGUCAGUGAUCUUUAGGGGGCCUGAGAGGGUGAUCCCCCACACUGGUACUGAGACACGGACCAGACUCCUACGGGAGGCAGCAGUGAGGAAUAUUGGACAAUGGGUGAGAGCCUGAUCCAGCCAUCCCGCGUGAAGGACGACGGCCCUAUGGGUUGUAAACUUCUUUUGUACAGGGAUAAACCUUUCCACGUGUGGAAAGCUGAAGGUACUGUACGAAUAAGCACCGGCUAACUCCGUG
This 443-nucleotide ribosomal RNA is filed under the name uncultured bacterium. Its description in RNAcentral is "bacterial SSU rRNA". It matches the Rfam family "Bacterial small subunit ribosomal RNA", at positions 64 to 507 of the family's 1533-position model. The record is from RNAcentral.